CUCGUAUUUUAUUUUUCAAUUCUUUCAUUUAGUUUAUCUUUUAAUCACAUAAUGGUGCUUUUUCUGUAUAAUCCAUACAACAUGUGUCAUUUUGUCACGACCAGCUGUAGCUUUAGAAAAUGCGCGGCGACCUAUUAUUUUUAUGAUAUCUUUUAACAUAUUAUAUAUCAAUAGAUACUACGUUUUGGCAAAGACUGAACAAUUUCGGUCAUUUUUAAUUUAUACUCCCAUACCACCUUAAGAAGGAGUGCUGCACUGUAUACUUGUUUUUUUCACAGUCGAUCUCUCAUUGUUUGUUGAGUGAGUAUAUAUAUCAAAACCAAACCAAUUAUAUUUUACAAAAUUCAGUGUAGUUAGCUAAAAAACAUAAAAGAUCAUAAAAGUACUUCAAUCAUAAAUAUUUUACCAUAUCGCAAAUGAUUUAUUUCUAUAAAUCUAUAUAUAUAUAUAUAUAU
This 455-nucleotide long non-coding RNA is filed under the name Mytilus galloprovincialis (Mediterranean mussel). Lineage: Eukaryota; Metazoa; Mollusca; Bivalvia; Mytilida; Mytilidae. The record is from RNAcentral.